Molecule: long non-coding RNA, 418 nt
Filed under: Pan paniscus (pygmy chimpanzee)
Lineage: Eukaryota; Metazoa; Chordata; Mammalia; Primates; Hominidae
Description: lncRNA (ENSPPAG00000045589.1)
Source: RNAcentral
GACGGGGCCUGGGUGUCUUCAGGCUUUUGAGUCUUCCCCAUCAGCAUUUCUUUCAUUCAAAAUAAAGUUAAAAGAACCCCCCAGAACACGAGGGACUCCAGGCACCCCAAGCUCAGAGGCACAGUUUUGAGGGGAGCUCUCUCCUCACAUGAAGUAUGGCCUUGAGGCCACCCAUCACCCAUGCCAACAUCAGACUUCGACGGCGAGAGAGCAUUGACCUCCUUUCAGCAAAUGUCGAUGCCAGAAAAAGUGCUCUGCAAAUUCAACCGCUGCUGCUGCUCAAAUCUCCUAUGAAGCUGAGAAUUAGAGGAAGCUUCCAGAACCUGGCAGCCCCCAGCAGCGUUCCCAAUGGCAGAGCCCAAGCCCUCGGCUCUCCUGCUCUUCCUCACCUUGCACAAGAUCUGCUCUCCAGAUGGGU